UAAGAGACAGCAGCCGCCGCGGUAAUACGUAGGUCCCGAGCGUUGUCCGGAUUUAUUGGGCGUAAAGCGAGCGCAGGCGGUUAGAUAAGUCUGAAGUUAAAGGCUGUGGCUUAACCAUAGUACGCUUUGGAAACUGUUUAACUUGAGUGCAAGAGGGGAGAGUGUAAUUCCAUGUGUAGCGGUGAAAUGCGUAGAUAUAUGGAGGAACACCGGUGGCGAAAGCGGCUCUCUGGCUUGUAACUGACGCUGAGGCUCGAAAGCGUGGGGAGCAAACAGGAUUAGAUACCCGAGUAGUCCCUGUCUCUUAUACA
This 311-nucleotide ribosomal RNA is filed under the name uncultured bacterium. RNAcentral's name for it is "partial 16S ribosomal RNA". It matches the Rfam family "Bacterial small subunit ribosomal RNA", at positions 502 to 808 of the family's 1533-position model. The record is from RNAcentral.